Chelonoidis abingdonii (Abingdon island giant tortoise) is the source of this 176-nucleotide unclassified non-coding RNA. Lineage: Eukaryota; Metazoa; Chordata; Testudines; Testudinidae. The record is from Ensembl.
UUAAUGGCUCUACAGAUGAGAAAAUACUUUUUCUGCAGAACAGGUUCAGCACAGGCAGUGGCAGUGCAAACAUCCCCUUCCCUUCUCCACUAAUAUCUCUUAAAUCAGACCUAGAGGAGUAUUUCCAGGAAAGAGAUUGCAGUUCAGUCUCCAUGUACAUUCAAUCAUCUUCCAAG